CCUGCCAGUAGUCAUAUGCUUCGUUCAAGGGCUAAGCCAUGCAUGUCUCAGCGCACACGGUUCAACAGUGGGUCUGUGAAUGGCUCCUUACAUCAGCAGUCAUCUCAGCGAUGAAGUGUGGACGCCACCAAGGCCAAGGUGGCCAUUUGGACAUCCUCCAAAACCUAGUGGCUAAUACACGCAAGAGACAGUCUGCCACGCCAAGUGUUGGGCGGGAAACGGCCUGACCUGUGGUGGAUUGCAUCCAGCUGGUUUCAAGACCUGCGACCGAAAGGUCAGCAUGUCCCAGCUGACUCAAGCUGGUCCUUCUGGACACAGCUCUGGCUAGCAUAGUGGCAUCACCACUGCUUGCCUGAUCGCUCGAACUUCUGACCUAUCAGCUCUGACUGUGGUGUAGUGGACCACAGUGGCUAUGACGGGUAACGGAGAAUUUGGGUUCGACUCCGGAGAGGCAGCCUGAGAAACGGCUACCACUACCAAGGUGGGCAGCAGGCGCGCAAAUUGCCCAAUACCAAAGCUCACGGUGAGGCAGCGACGAACUGCAGCAAUUCUGCCUGGAUCAUUUCAGGCUGAACUUGGAAUGGAUGCUAUCCAAACACAGUGAUGAGUAGCCACUGGAGGGCAAGUCUGGUGCCAGCAGCUGCGGUAAUUCCAGCUCCAAGAGCGUAUACUAACAUUGCUGCGGUUAAAACACUUGUAGUCUGCCCUAGGGCGCAGGUCUGACCGGGCUUGCUUAGGUCUUGUGGCUCAGUGUGUCUCCGGACAUGCUGGUGUUGCUUGACCGGCAAGAACACAACCCCGGCCAGUAUGUCCCUGCGCCCAACCAUCCAGGAUGGUUGAAGCUCCUGCCUAAAGUCACCUUCACUGGUGGCCUGAAGCGGCUGUGCACCGCAUGCGUGUGUGGACAAUCAGGAGUCCAGCUGCCACAUGCACUGGAUCAACUCCGUCCGCCACCGGAGCCAACCAUCACUGACACCCUGGAAAACUCAGUGUGCUCAAAGCAUCCACUUCGGAUGGAUGCCUGUCCAUGGAACGUCAAAGCAUCGACCGAACUUGGCAACAGAGUUGUGCAGGCCUUGGUGCCAGUUCAGGACAAUGUGGUGCUGCACCCUUGCCUAUGAAGGCUCAGUCUUCGGAUUGAUGUCCGGAUCAGCUUGGUGUUGCAGUAACCUACCGCCAAUGAUGGGACUGCUCAGGGUGGAAGGUAUUGGAGCGCCAGAGGUGAAAUUCUUAGACCGCUGCAAGACCAACUGCAGCGAAGGCGUUCUGCAAGGGCAUGUUCGUCGAUCAAGAAUGAGAGCUUGGGGAGCGAAGAUGAUCAGACACCAUCGUAGUCCAAUGCUGUAAACCAUGCCAGCUCGGUCUUGGUGAGGCAAGUCUCUUGACCUCAUCAGUGCCAUGCCCCCUGCAACGAGAAAUCCAAGCCUGUGGGUUCCGGGGGGAGUACGGUCGCAAGGCUGAAACUUAAAGGAAUUGACGGAAUGGCACCACAAGGCGUGGAGUAUGCGGCUUAAUUUGACUCAACACGGGGAAUGUUACCAGGUCAGGACAUUGCCAGGAUGGACAGACUGCUAGCUCUUGCUUGAUUCGAUGGAUGGUGGUGCAUGGCCGCUCCUGAUUGGUGGAGUGAUUUGUCUGGUUGAUUCCGAUAACGAGUGAGAUCUCCGCCUUCCACUAGCGCCUGUCUCGCAUUUGGUAGGGUGGACUCUUGGUCAACCCGGUCUGGCUGGCCUUGUGUUGGCUGGGCUUGUGGUCCCUUGAUGUCCCCCGAGAGUUCAGGCUGCUUCUCUGAGGUGCUGCGUACACUGCUAAGUGCGCGCAUGCUAGAGCCAACAGCAGGUCUGUGAUGCUCCUAGAUGUCCUGGGCCGCACGCGCACUACAUUGACACAGUGAAGGUGUCAAGCUCCUCAUGGAGCCCUGGCCAGAAGUGGCUGGGAAAUCAUCCAAGCCUGUGCUGUACUGGGGAUAGAUGAUUGCAACUGUCUGCCUUGAACGAGGAAUGCCUAGUAGGCGUGAGUCAUCAGCUCACACCGAUUGCGUCCCUGCCAUUUGUACACACCGCCCGUCGUUGCUACCGACGGCAGCUGGAUAGAGUCAUCAGGAGGCCAAAGGCACUCGUUGCCUGAACUGAAAUUGGACAAUGUCCAGCUGCUGAAGGAAGCAAAAGUC
RNAcentral lists this ribosomal RNA (2170 nucleotides) under Strombomonas sp. Gungnamji052507CS. RNAcentral's name for it is "SSU rRNA". It matches the Rfam family "Eukaryotic small subunit ribosomal RNA". Lineage: Eukaryota; Euglenozoa; Euglenophyceae; Euglenales; Euglenaceae. The record is from RNAcentral.